GAUGAACGCUGGCGGCGUGCUUAACACAUGCAAGUCGAACGGAAAGGCCCUGCUUGCAGGGUACUCGAGUGGCGAACGGGUGAGUAACACGUGGGUGAUCUGCCCUGUACUUUGGGAUAAGCCUGGGAAACUGGGUCUAAUACCGAAUAUGACAAUUGUUUGGAUGCGAUUGUGGAAAGCUUUUGCGGUAUGGGAUGAGCUCGCGGCCUAUCAGCUUGUUGGUGGGGUAAUGGCCUACCAAGGCGUCGACGGGUAGCCGGCCUGAGAGGGUGUACGGCCACAUUGGGACUGAGAUACGGCCCAGACUCCUACGGGAGGCAGCAGUGGGGAAUAUUGCACAAUGGGCGCAAGCCUGAUGCAGCGACGCCGCGUGGGGGAUGACGGCCUUCGGGUUGUAAACUCCUUUCGCAACCGACGAAGCCUUUUGGGGACGGUAGGUUGAGAAGAAGCACCGGCUAACUACGU
RNAcentral lists this ribosomal RNA (465 nucleotides) under uncultured bacterium. RNAcentral describes it as "partial 16S ribosomal RNA". It matches the Rfam family "Bacterial small subunit ribosomal RNA", at positions 28 to 506 of the family's 1533-position model. The record is from RNAcentral.